AUCCAGAGCGAUGGUCAACCUCAUCUUUGCUAGCACCAGCAGACCAAGAUGCACAAGUGGCUGUUUGGAGCUUCCAUAAAGGAUGUUCAGCAUCUGCCUGCAGCAUCUCCAAUGUAAAGAUGAUUCAGAAGUGCUUUAGCACCCCAGAGACUUUCACGGUGGGCUGAACCCUCUAAAACGUUAGCUGGGUAUUUGGAAUUUCUAGCUUAAAAGGAAGGAUAGCUUCAAUUUUGGCUUUGAGGCAAAAGCAAGCCCUACAAUUGAGAGUCUCAGGCUUCCCCUCUCCAAACUUCUUUCCCCUGAGCAGAAGACACUUUUGCAUUGACACUUGCCACCAUGCAGAAUACAGUGGAUCUGAAGACAAAGGCAAACUUUUUGCACAAUGAGUACAUAUGGAAAUUGCACUGAACAGCCUUCACUGCUUUGCUACCACAAACCAUAAUAUCUAACGUGGCACCGCUUCAGGGUCCUAGAUCUGCUUUCCUGCUAACGUUGCUCUAGCUGAUAAUGCUCAUCUCUUCAACUCUUCCCAGACAGGCCCCAAGGAAGGGAGCAAAGUAACUUCACAGGUAAUGAAGCAUUUAAUUAUUUAUUAAUUACAGCUCUGUCCAGGUCCAAAAUGAACAGAACAGUCCUGCAAUUUACCUGGCCACUGGAGACUGACUCAACACUAUAUAAUGAUGCUGCUGGUGACCAUGCUGCCAACUCAUACAAUGCACUCAUCAUCACCCAGAAUUAAGUGGCCACAGUCAAGGACAUGCAGGUGCUCUAGGUUUUACCUCUUUGCCUUACUCAGAACCACUUGUGCCACUCACUGCCAUUAGGAAGCUGUGACCUGGGAGAUGCAGAGCUUUGUCUUUGGAGCAGGAGGAGACCUGCUAUGGGCAGGCUAAGCACUAGACAUGCAAGUUCAUGGGGUGAAAGCAAGGACCCCAUGGGAAAAGGCUGGGAAUCAUGACUGUGCACAAAGAUCAGGGCAGACCCUGCAGUCCUCCAAGUGCGUCACAAGGGAAGGCUGCAAGUGUCUUCCCACUCCUGUGCUAUUAAAGCUCCCCUCUUUUCCUUCUGCUUCCAACUUAAAAAAGGGAUCUGAGCUUUUGUCAGAUGUGUUUUUAAAUCCUUUUCCAAGAGGCUUCUAUAGGUGCUGUUAUGGCUCUUUUCAGCAAGAGAAAAUGGACAAGUGACAUCAAAUGUAUGUAUUAUUUUGGGGGAAAAAAGGCAACUUUUUAGUCAUCUUGUAUACCUGCAACCACAGAACACAGGAUUUGCAAAUCCACCAUGUGACUUUGAAGGUAAUUGUGUUCCAUUAAUGCCAAUACUCUUGGAGGAAUGAAGUGUCUCAUCUCUAAAUUACUUCUGUGGUUUUAAUUGAGUAUCAUUUGCUUCACCUUAGCAGCUUGUGUAUGUGUCAGAGGAGGGAAUUCACCCCAAAGGAAGUUCCAUUUUUUUGGGUGUCUAAAGUAGCAAAUAAGCAACACUCGGUGUGGCAAUGAGAAACCUACACUUUUCUUCAGCUGGGAAGAGAAAACAGCUCUUUGCUCCUUUCCUCCUGCAACUUACUGCUUUUAUUGCUAUAAUCACUUCUAUGGUUUGAGCUUUCAAUGCCUGUGUCUUCCUGUCCAUGUCAGGACACAAGAACAUGGCACCCUGCAAAUGCACCCUGGUUUUUGCACCCCCACUGUCUGGGGUGGAAGGGGUGAGACCUGCAAGCAAAUGCCUCCUUAGUGCAAUGCAGAGGGAGCAAAGGCAUCAGCUAGAGGGGCUUGAUGGGGUGUUUUGGUCCCUGCUGUGCAGAGCAGUGAUUUGGUUUAUAUAAGACAUCGUUUCUAACACUUUCUACCCCAACCACUUGGUUGAUUAACUCAUGGUUAAUUCCUCCAGCAUGGCAUUAUGUGAGAUCUUAAAACCUCUUUAUAAUCGCUUGUCCCCUCUUAAUCCGAAGCAGGUACACAGGCACUUCCACCAUGGAAGUGAUAAAGGAAAGCAGGGUGAAAAGGUAAUUCAACGAGAAAAACCUAAAAGGUUAAAAGUAAAUAUGCAACUCAGACUGAAAUUGGCUGUUUGCUGCUAGACCAGGCUUUGCUGGGCUUGCACCUCACUGGCCAUGCCACAGCUUUGCUAACCCUGCUCUGGCAGAGCCUGGCCCGUGCCAAGUGCCUGUGUCAUGGGAGUGAGUUAAUAGUGAGAAGCCGAGGUGGUGCUGACAAGGCAAACUGCUCAUUGCACAACCAACGGAGCCUCGCGCUGCUCAUGGGUUAAUUUUAUACCAGCAAAGACUUGCCACCUACCAAGGAUUUAAACAAAAAUAACCCCCACUACCAUUUAGGCUUUACACUGAUUUCACUGAGGCUUCUAGCUGGAAAAAAAAAAAAGCAUUUCACAUAAAAUGUAAUAUUUAGAAUAGGCACAGGGCCUUUGGUCAAAGUCCAUAGGGUGCAUGUUCAGCCAGCACCACGUGGGACGUGGUUCUCAUAAUCUCAGUGUCCCUUCCUCAGCUAGAGCACAAAAAACUGUGUUUGAAACAACAAAGUGUAAGAUAUUAGGAAUGAGAUCGAUGGACAGCGAUAUUAAAUUAAAUGUAGCUCACUUCCAUGCACUGUUUAUGAAUUAGUGGUCUAAUGGGAAAUGCUUCUCCCUUCCCUUAUUUCAGUGGAGAAAUCUGCAUAUAUGCAGGUUGCUCCGCUGAUGCAAGUAAAUAACUCCCCCAUUACAAUGAAUUUGGAAGACUCUUGAAUACAUCUGCUGUCAUGAGAGUUCAGAUUUAUAGCCUCAGACUCUGUUUAACUUGUAAUUAAUAUGGACUUCCGCAUUUCUUUUUCCUCUUCCAGAAUAAUAUUCUAUUAGUCAUGACAGCAAAAAAGUGCCCUAUUUGGGCAACGAUUCAAUUUCUUCUGAGCUCCCAUCGACAUCAAGUCCCACUUGUCCAGAGCAGGGACUUGAUGGAACAAACUGCAGGGACCUGCUGGGGAAAUCUUAUUUGCUGUGGAUUGCUCCAUCCAACUAAAAAUACCAUUCUGCAGCUUCAGAGAGGGGAUAAAGGUAGAAAUGAGACAUCAGGGUGCAGGGAACAUGCCUACACCCUGCAAGCACGAUGCUGGAGGCAUCUGCUAUGGAAAGGGCCAGGAUGAAGCUGUUGCUUCCGAACCCCAGGGACUGUUUUAUCUCCUGCAGCCCGCACUACGGUUGCAUGCAAAGCACAUCACCUCCACUUCCCGCAUGGCACACGUAGGGUCCAAGGAGCAGUUCUGCCCUCUAACCUAGGUGAGAUUCCUUGCAGGGAGCAAGUGUUAUCAGAGAAUAACCAUCCUGGUUGCAUGUUCCCCUGACAAGCAGCAUUAGGAAAAAAAGCAUUAAUCUCUGGCAAAUCCUGAGCACAACUUUGGAAAGGAUUCAAAGCAGGGAGAGGGCUCCGCAGCCCAGCAGCUGGCUAGAGCUCCACACAGUAUUUUAGAAAGCUGACGAGGAACCUCCUGUGCAACACAUGAAAGCUGAUCCUGAAAUGCAGAUUAUGCCUCCCUUAAUUCAUCCUGAAGAGCGAUACCUCUGCUGCAAACCCCUUCCAGAGCGAAACCUCCGCCUGAACAGCUGAACUUGGAAAAGUUAUCCGUGCAAGGAAUUCAGACUUAGACACCCGUAUUGCACAGCGCGGGAUGGACGGGAAACGGAUUCAAGAAUGAUGCCAUUCAUUGAGAUCAUGUUUUGUGGGUUGGCUACUUGCAUUUUCCCCAUUUUCCUGGUAUGAAGAAGGAUGGACAAAGCGAGUGCAUGGGAUAAGCAGCACCCCAGCAGGGUGGGCUGCACGGCCACCAGCUCAGCUCCCUGCCACCACUGGCUCCAUGUGCUGCAGCCAUCCCAGCCCGAGGCUUUUGGGGACCCCUAGGAAGAAGCUGCUCCCCUGCCCUACUACGGGUCUUGCAGGGACCCUCCCUCAAGCAGCAGCGGGCAUCGCUCAGUUCAACUCUGCAUUAUCAAACUUCUCUGGCUCUUUCUAUUGGAAACUUUUAACAAUUCUCUGCUUGGCUGGAACGGAUGACUGCAGCAAACCCAAAUUAGGAAUAAAUUAUACAACAACUUUACAUUUUUCUUACAAAGGAAAACUGUGUGGCAAGAGCUGUGAAAGCACCUCCUUCCCAUGGCCUCCCUGCGAGGCUUGUGGAGGAAGGCCACGGGCUCCACAGAUGGCUUGGGAUUUAAAAACAAAACAGCAAGAAGCAGCCCCGGUCCCAGUUUGGGAUCUGCUCUGCUAUGCACUGGCUCGCACCCCCCCUGCUCCCCAAUAUGCAUGAGGGCUGCAGAAUGCAAGAGCCAAGCUGCAACAGCAAAUCCACCCAUUUAAAAGAAGCUCCAAAAGCUGCAUCUGCUGACAUAUGGGCAUCUAUUUCCACAAUGAAUGGCCGGAGCAACUCCUCCUUAAAAACAUCUCCAGCCGGCUCUUGCAGGGACUAUUGCAUUCCCACUGCAUUUUUGCAAUAUUAAACUCCCCACCUCCUCCCUCCCACCAACCAUCACCCCUUCCUUGCAGGACACAAGGCAGAAUCACGCCGGAUCAGUUCACAAGCAAAGCUCAAAGCUUGCCCACCACGCUGGCAAAAGAAAGCCAUCAAUGCAAGAAGAAGAAGAAUAAAUCACUGCCGUCCCCUCCCCAAACGCUAAAUAAAGCAGCUCUCAGCGAUCUGGUGUUACAAACCUCCGACCAAAAGUUACCAAAUAUUGAAGGGGGGGGAAGGGGGGGGAUCGGUGGAAAAUGAUCUCAGUCCUGGCACAAGAACAAUACUUUCCCAUGGAAACAUAGAGGUAUAUAUUUAAUUCCUUGCUCACUCGCACUCAAGUUUCACCUUUCAUCUCCUCCCAGGACUUGUUUCAAAGUUUCAUCUCAAUGAAACGAGCCCGCAAUCCGCACGCACGGCCGCAACCCCGAUUUACUCCUCGACACCCUUUUAUCUCCUUGCUGACCGGUGCAGGAGGUGGGGGACACGCACACACACACACUCGGUGAUCCCGGCUGAAGAAUUCCACUAACGCCAAAGCGCAGCUGAACGGCGAACGCAGCCUGCAGGAACUGUGCCUGGGUGGAUGUGUGUGUGUGUGUGUGUGUGUGUGUGAGUGCGUGUGCGCACCCGCGCCCAACAGGAAAUGCAACGGGGGGAGCCACGGAGAAGCUUCAAACUUCAAA
Long non-coding RNA from Pezoporus occidentalis (night parrot), 5173 nucleotides. RefSeq lists it as uncharacterized. NCBI's taxonomy places the organism in Eukaryota, Metazoa, Chordata, Aves, Psittaciformes, Psittacidae. The record is from RefSeq and is a predicted model, not a curated record. The transcript is spliced from 2 exons.